Molecule: ribosomal RNA, 742 nt
Filed under: Janibacter sp. NY141K
Lineage: Bacteria; Bacillati; Actinomycetota; Actinomycetes; Micrococcales; Intrasporangiaceae
Description: bacterial SSU rRNA
Rfam family: Bacterial small subunit ribosomal RNA
Source: RNAcentral
GAUGCAGCGACGCCGCGUGAGGGAUGACGGCCUUCGGGUUGUAAACCUCUUUCAGCAGGGAAGAAGCGAAAGUGACGGUACCUGCAGAAGAAGCACCGGCUAACUACGUGCCAGCAGCCGCGGUAAUACGUAGGGUGCGAGCGUUGUCCGGAAUUAUUGGGCGUAAAGGGCUUGUAGGCGGUUUGUCGCGUCUGCUGUGAAAAUCCGGGGCUCAACCCCGGACUUGCAGUGGGUACGGGCAGACUAGAGUGUGGUAGGGGAGACUGGAAUUCCUGGUGUAGCGGUGAAAUGCGCAGAUAUCAGGAGGAACACCGAUGGCGAAGGCAGGUCUCUGGGCCACUACUGACGCUGAGAAGCGAAAGCAUGGGGAGCGAACAGGAUUAGAUACCCUGGUAGUCCAUGCCGUAAACGUUGGGCGCUAGGUGUGGGACUCAUUCCACGAGUUCCGUGCCGCAGCUAACGCAUUAAGCGCCCCGCCUGGGGAGUACGGCCGCAAGGCUAAAACUCAAAGGAAUUGACGGGGGCCCGCACAAGCGGCGGAGCAUGCGGAUUAAUUCGAUGCAACGCGAAGAACCUUACCAAGGCUUGACAUAUACCGGAAACAUCCAGAGAUGGGUGCCCCUUUUUGGUCGGUAUACAGGUGGUGCAUGGUUGUCGUCAGCUCGUGUCGUGAGAUGUUGGGUUAAGUCCCGCAACGAGCGCAACCCUCGUUCUAUGUUGCCAGCACGUGAUGGUGGGGACU